GCAAGUCGAGCGGAAACGAUGAUAGCUUGCUAUCAGGCGUCGAGCGGCGGACGGGUGAGUAACGCGUAGGAACUUACCCAGUAGUCGGGGAUAGCCCGGAGAAAUCCGGAUUAAUACCGAAUAAUCUCUACGGAGGAAAGGGGGCUUUUAGCUCUCGCUACUGGAAGGGCCUGCGUUGGAUUAGCUAGUCGGUGUGGUAAAGGCGCACCAAGGCGACGAUCCCUAGCUGGUCUGAGAGGAUGAUC
RNAcentral lists this ribosomal RNA (245 nucleotides) under uncultured bacterium. RNAcentral's name for it is "partial 16S ribosomal RNA". It matches the Rfam family "Bacterial small subunit ribosomal RNA", at positions 57 to 305 of the family's 1533-position model. The record is from RNAcentral.